UCCCGAUGCUAUUUCUAGAGAUAGAAAGUUACUUCGGUACAGUCGGUGACAGGUGGUGCAUGGUUGUCGUCAGCUCGUGUCGUGAGAUGUUGGGUUAAGUCCCGCAACGAGCGCAACCCUAUUGUUAGUUGCCAUCAUUCAGUUGGGCACUCUAGCGAGACUGACCGGUAAUAAACCGGAGGAAGGUGGGGAUGACGUCAAAUCAUCAUCGCCCCUUAUGACCUGGGCUACACACGUGCUACAAUGGUUGGUACAACGAGUUGCGAGUCGGUGACGGCGAGCUAAUCUCUUAAAGCCAAUCUCAGUUCGGAUUGUAGGCUGCAACUCGCCUACAUGAAGUCGGAAUCGCUAGUAAUCGCGGAUCAGCACGCCGCGGUGAAUACGUUCCCGGGCCUU
Molecule: ribosomal RNA, 396 nt
Filed under: uncultured Streptococcus sp.
Lineage: Bacteria; Bacillati; Bacillota; Bacilli; Lactobacillales; Streptococcaceae
Description: bacterial SSU rRNA
Rfam family: Bacterial small subunit ribosomal RNA
Source: RNAcentral